This 733-nucleotide ribosomal RNA is filed under the name uncultured Micromonospora sp. RNAcentral describes it as "bacterial SSU rRNA". It matches the Rfam family "Bacterial small subunit ribosomal RNA", at positions 56 to 808 of the family's 1533-position model. The record is from RNAcentral. Lineage: Bacteria; Bacillati; Actinomycetota; Actinomycetes; Micromonosporales; Micromonosporaceae.
UGCAAGUCGAGCGGAAGGCCCUUCGGGGUACUCGAGCGGCGAACGGGUGAGUAACACGUGAGCAACCUGCCCCAGGCUUUGGGAUAACCCCGGGAAACCGGGGCUAAUACCGAAUAUGACCUCUGACCGCAUGGUUGGUGGUGGAAAGUUUUUCGGCUUGGGAUGGGCUCGCGGCCUAUCAGCUUGUUGGUGGGGUGAUGGCCUACCAAGGCGACGACGGGUAGCCGGCCUGAGAGGGCGACCGGCCACACUGGGACUGAGACACGGCCCAGACUCCUACGGGAGGCAGCAGUGGGGAAUAUUGCACAAUGGGCGGAAGCCUGAUGCAGCGACGCCGCGUGAGGGAUGACGGCCUUCGGGUUGUAAACCUCUUUCAGCAGGGACGAAGCGUAAGUGACGGUACCUGCAGAAGAAGCGCCGGCCAACUACGUGCCAGCAGCCGCGGUAAGACGUAGGGCGCGAGCGUUGUCCGGAUUUAUUGGGCGUAAAGAGCUCGUAGGCGGCUUGUCGCGUCGACCGUGAAAACUUGGGGCUCAACCCCAAGCCUGCGGUCGAUACGGGCAGGCUAGAGUUCGGUAGGGGAGACUGGAAUUCCUGGUGUAGCGGUGAAAUGCGCAGAUAUCAGGAGGAACACCGGUGGCGAAGGCGGGUCUCUGGGCCGAUACUGACGCUGAGGAGCGAAAGCGUGGGGAGCGAACAGGAUUAGAUACCCUGGUAGUCCACGCUGUAAACG